Molecule: ribosomal RNA, 484 nt
Filed under: uncultured bacterium
Lineage: Bacteria
Description: partial 16S ribosomal RNA
Rfam family: Bacterial small subunit ribosomal RNA
Source: RNAcentral
AUUGAACGCUGGCGGCAGGCCUAACACAUGCAAGUCGAGCGGAUGAAGGGAGCUUGCUCCUGGAUUCAGCGGCGGACGGGUGAGUAAUGCCUAGGAAUCUGCCUGGUAGUGGGGGAUAACGUCCGGAAACGGGCGCUAAUACCGCAUACGUCCUGAGGGAGAAAGUGGGGGAUCUUCGGACCUCACGCUAUCAGAUGAGCCUAGGUCGGAUUAGCUAGUUGGUGGGGUAAAGGCCUACCAAGGCGACGAUCCGUAACUGGUCUGAGAGGAUGACCAGUCACACUGGAACCGAGACACGGUCCAGACUCCUACGGGAGGCAGCAGUGGGGAAUAUUGGACGAUGCGCGAAAGCCUGAUCCAGCCCUGCUGCGUGUGUGAAGAAGGUCUUCGGAUUGUAAAGCACUUUAAGUUGGGAGGAAGGGCAGUAAGUUAAUACCUUGCUGUUUUGACGUUACCAACAGAAUAAGCACCGGCUAACUUCGUG